GAUGAAGAACGUAGCGAAAUUCGAUAAGUAAUGUGAAUUGCAGAAUUCAGUGAAUCAUCGAAUCUUUGAACGCACAUUGCGCCCGCCAGUAUUCUGGCGGGCAUGCCUGUUCGAGCGUCAUUUCAACCAUCAAGCCCCCCGGCUUGUGUUGGGGACCUGCGGCUGCCGCAGGCCCUGAAAAGCAGUGGCGGGCUCGCUGUCACACCGAGCGUAGUAGAUCUCAUCUCGCUCAGGGCGUGCUGCGGGUUCCGGCCGUUAAACCACCUUCAUAACCCAAGGUUGACCUCGGAUCAGGUAGGAAGACCCGCUGAACUUAAGCAUAUCAAUAAGCGGAGGA
This 337-nucleotide unclassified non-coding RNA is filed under the name soil metagenome. Its description in RNAcentral is "partial contains 5.8S ribosomal RNA, internal transcribed spacer 2, and large subunit ribosomal RNA". The stretch from base 1 to 120 matches the Rfam family "5.8S ribosomal RNA", at positions 35 to 154 of the family's 154-position model. The record is from RNAcentral.